AGCACAGCCACCACCAAGUUGCUAUCAGACAUCUCCCAGAUCACUGUAAUAUAUUCAGCUUAAAUUUUAAUAGUUUCUCUUUCCACAUUAGUAUAUCUGGUCUGAGGUUCGUUCAGAUAUCCACUGACCAGAAAGGUCACACUCAGGCCUGUUGGGAUUGUUGAGUCACCAACUCCACAUAGCUUGAUAAUCCUAAGAGAGUAUCUAAACAGUGUGAUGAGGCAUCUCCAGCAUCAGUGUAUUUCAGCAGAGAGCUUUCCUUGAAUGAAUUCAUCCAGUCCUCCCCACUGAGAAACAUCACGUUAUCUGUCCCAGCCUGGAGCCUGUAGUAAUUUAGCUGCCAUCUCAAAGGCAUUCAGGACUCACAGUUCACAGCUAGCACAGCCAGCUUAUCCCAGGGGGUUUAGUAAAACCCAAGGCCAUAGCUUUAGGCAGUCUUUGGUUAUAUUCAGCCUGGAGAGAAAGGAGAUAUUGGAUAUUCCUGUGAAGGACACAGUUUUCUGAGAUGAAAAUGAACAGUACAGAUACAACAGCUUGGAAGUAAAGAAUAAGAAAGCUUGUUUCACCAUGUGGCUGCAACAAGUUCAGCUUUUUAGCUUAAAGAAAGAAUGUGCUUUUGACCCUCCCUAUUGUUCCCAUUCUCCAUACUUGGCUAUGCCAGAGCAUAAAAUCCUCUCAGAGUGCAAGAGGCAGAUCCCUUAAUUUGAAAAUAAGGUGAAAGAUAUUCUCCAGGCCAGCAACUAUUUUGCUCCAACAGUUAAAAAGCAUCUUAUCCUGAGGAUCAAGUUAGAGUUGUUCUAAAAACCACGCAAAGAAUCCAGGAUGGCUAUUAGGUCCUUAACACAAAUGGUUUUUUUCCAACUACAAUCAUCAAUAGGAUAAUCUGGUACUCUUGUUGCACCACCUCACUUGCAAAUGCAGACAUAGGCAGAAGCUGUCUAUGUCUCUAAGAAGCACAUACAAAUGUUCAAGUUCAUUGCCUCUACAUGACAGUUUGUCUUUCAGAACAUCAAUGAUUUCUCCAGUAUCUAUGAAUCUGGGGAUUGUUCUUCAGUGCAUAAAUUGCAGUAAGAAGAUGUAUGUGAAAUUUCUAUCAUCAAGGAUCCUUAAAAAACUCUCUGAAAACAAGGUGAAUAUAUCUGGAAAAUGCUUCUUGGAGCUAUAUGCAGCCCCUGGCACAGUAAGAUGUAUUUGGAUGAAUAUUAAAACAGUGCACCUAUUCCCUUUCCUGGAACUCAUCAAUCUACUUCUCCACCAAAUUCGAGAUGUCUACUUCCAAAUGGACCACUCCUUCCAUUCCUGUCCACUAAUCAGAUCUGCAGCACACACUAGAUGAGAGGAGAAGUCAGUAAUUUCUCAGAAGCAUGCCUUACAACUUAGAGCUGGUACAGAAACAUCAGGGAAGGAAUGGCAAAUUUGCAGCUGUUUAAUGUGAAGAUCAAAAAGCAAUGGCUUGAAGUACGACAUUAGCAAUUUUGGAAUUGCCUUCUGAUUGUGUCUUGAUGAUAGAAGAUCAAAUAUAGUCCAUUUGUGAAUGAAAAACGUUUUUUUUCUCAUUACUGGUAGCUACAGUUCAUGGACAUAGGGAGCAG
RNAcentral lists this long non-coding RNA (1592 nucleotides) under Phasianus colchicus (ring-necked pheasant). RNAcentral's name for it is "lncRNA (ENSPCLG00000003529.1)". Lineage: Eukaryota; Metazoa; Chordata; Aves; Galliformes; Phasianidae. The record is from RNAcentral.